GGAUUUGGGAAUUGUUCUGGGAAUUGGGAUUUGUGCUGGGAAUUGGGAUUCGGGAAUUGGGAUUUGUGCCGGGAUUUGGGAAUUGUGCUGGGAAUUGGGAAUUGUUUUGGAAUUUGGGAUUUGGGAUCUGGGAUUUGGGAUUUGGGAAUCGCGCCGGUUCCCAAUCCCGGGAGCGUCCCCGCAGCCUCCUGGAGCAGCUGCACAAGCACCAGGGCGCGGUGCUGCACCCGGAAUUCCGAACCCCGUUCCGCUCCGUGGGCGACGCCCUGCGCCGGCUGCUGCCGUACCACGUCUACCAGGGGGUGCUGCCCGGGGAGCCCGAGUGCCGCCGCGUGGACGAGGAGUUCGAGGCGGUGUCGGAGCAGCUCCUGCGCCGCACGCGGGCGAUGCUCAACAAGUACCGGCUGCUGCUGCUGGAGGAGUCGCGGGUGAGCCCCCCCGGAAUUCCCGGAAUUCCAUGGAAAAUCCCCGGGAUUCCCCAAAAAUUCCCUGGAAUUCCUCGGAAUUCCCUGAAAAUUCCCCAAAAUUCCCUGUAAUUCUCCCAAAAUUCCCCAAAAUUCCCUGUAAUUCUCCCAAAAUUCCCCCAAAAUUCCCCAAAAUUCCCUGUAACUCUCCCAAAAUUCCCCAAAAUUCCCUAAAAUUCCCCCAAAAUUCCCCAAAAUUCCCCGUAAUUCUCCCAAAAUUCCCCAAAUUCCCUGUAAUUCCCCCAAAAUUCCCCAAAAUUCCCUAAAAUUCCCCCAAAAUUCCCCAAAAUUCCCCGUAAUUCCCCCAAAAUUCCCCAAAAUUCCCUGUAAUUCCCCCAAAAUUCCCCAAAAUUCCCUAAAAUUCCCCCCAAAUUCCCCAAAAUUCCCUGUAAUUCUCCCAAAAUUCCCUGCAAUUCCCCCAAAAUUCCCAAAACUUCCCUAAAAUUCCCCCAAAAUUCCCCAAAAUUCCCUGUAAUUCCCCCAAAAUUCCCCAAAAUUUCCUGUAAUUCUCCCAAAAUUCCCCAGAAUUCCCAAAAAUUCCCUCAAAAUUCCCCAAAAAUUCCCUAAAAUUACCCCAAAAUUCCCCAAAAUUCCCUGUAAUUCUCCCAAAAUUCCCCAAAAUUCCCUGAAAUUCUCCCAAAAUUCCCCAAAAUUCCCUGGAAUUCUCCCAAAAUUCCCUGUAAUUCUCCCCAAAAUUCCCCCGAAUCCCCCAAAAUUCCCCCCAAAUUCCCCGAAUUCCCCCUGCCCCCGUUGCAGCGCUGCAGCCCCUCGGCCGAGAUGGUGAUGAUCGACCGCAUCUUCAUCCAGGAGGAGAAAACGGCGCUGGCGCUCGACCGGCAGCUGGCCCGGGAGCGGCCCGGUGAGGAGCCCGGGGGGAUGACAACAAUGGGAAUAACAACAAUGGGAAUAAUGGGAAUAACAAUGGGAAUAACAACGGGAAUAAAGGGAACGGCCCGGUGAGGAGCCCGGGGGGA
This 1438-nucleotide long non-coding RNA is filed under the name Cyanistes caeruleus (blue tit). RNAcentral's name for it is "lncRNA (ENSCCEG00000006055.1)". The record is from RNAcentral. Lineage: Eukaryota; Metazoa; Chordata; Aves; Passeriformes; Paridae.